UGAGGUCAAAAGAUUGUACCCUAAUUUCUUGAAUGAGAUAUUUGCCAUCGACUGAAGGUAAAUCUAUUCUAUGUGAAUAUAAUACUCUUUUAUUUGGACUUUUAUGCUUGUAAUUAGUCGCUCUUGGUCUUGGGCUUUUAUCCUUCUAUUGACUUGUUUAAUUCUUUUGUUUUAUGCAGAUCAUGGUAUAGCUAGCCUCUCUUCCACUCAACUUGAAGAUAUGCUUUUUCUUGCUGUGGAUUUGGGGACUUCUUUUUUCCGUUAGGUUUUAGUUGGAUUGUGAAACUUUUUUAAGCGAGUUUUUGUUUUUUUAAGAGUAUUGGAAGACAUCAUUAUUUUUUCUUUUUCUUGAACAAUAAUGCUAUGAGCACCAAAUUAUUUACCAACUAAUGUGGA
This 396-nucleotide long non-coding RNA is filed under the name Prunus persica (peach). RNAcentral describes it as "long non-coding RNA (PPER_LNC007482)". Lineage: Eukaryota; Viridiplantae; Streptophyta; Magnoliopsida; Rosales; Rosaceae. The record is from RNAcentral.